RNAcentral lists this ribosomal RNA (253 nucleotides) under uncultured bacterium. Its description in RNAcentral is "partial 16S ribosomal RNA". It matches the Rfam family "Bacterial small subunit ribosomal RNA", at positions 524 to 776 of the family's 1533-position model. The record is from RNAcentral.
UACGUAGGGCGCAAGCGUUAAUCGGAAUUACUGGGCGUAAAGCGUGCGCAGGCGGUUUUGUAAGUCUGUCGUGAAAUCCCCGGGCUCAACCUGGGAAUUGCGAUGGAGACUGCAAGGCUAGAAUCUGGCAGAGGGGGGUAGAAUUCCACGUGUAGCAGUGAAAUGCGUAGAGAUGUGGAGGAACACCGAUGGCGAAGGCAGCCCCCUGGGUCAAGAUUGACGCUCAUGCACGAAAGCGUGGGGAGCAAACAGG